UACAGAGGUCUCAAGCGUUGUUCGGAUUCAUUGGGCGUAAAGGGUGCGUAGGCGGCGCGGUAAGUCGGGUGUGAAAUCUCGGAGCUUAACUCCGAAACUGCAUUCGAUACUACCGUGCUUGAGGACUGGAGAGGAGACUGGAAUUUACGGUGUAGCGGUGAAAUGCGUAGAUAUCGUAAGGAAGACCAGUGGCAAAGGCGGGUCUCUGGACAGUUCCUGACGCUGAGGCACGAAGGUCAGGGGAGCAAACGGG
RNAcentral lists this ribosomal RNA (253 nucleotides) under uncultured bacterium. Its description in RNAcentral is "partial 16S ribosomal RNA". It matches the Rfam family "Bacterial small subunit ribosomal RNA", at positions 524 to 776 of the family's 1533-position model. The record is from RNAcentral.